GGCGACAUAGCCAAGCGGUAAGGCAUGGGUCUGCAACACCUUGAUCACCAGUUCAAAUCUGGUUGUCGCCU
Molecule: transfer RNA, 71 nt
Filed under: Clostridiales bacterium
Lineage: Bacteria; Bacillati; Bacillota; Clostridia; Eubacteriales
Description: tRNA-Cys
Rfam family: tRNA
About the family: Transfer RNA (tRNA) molecules are approximately 80 nucleotides in length.
Source: RNAcentral